Molecule: small RNA, 614 nt
Filed under: Pan troglodytes (chimpanzee)
Lineage: Eukaryota; Metazoa; Chordata; Mammalia; Primates; Hominidae
Description: processed transcript
Source: RNAcentral
GGACACAUCCGGAUUUCAGACCUCGGUUUGGCCACAGAGAUCCCAGAAGGACAGAGGGUUCGAGGAAGAGUUGGAACAGUCGGCUACAUGGCACCUGAAGUUGUCAAUAAUGAAAAGUAUACGUUUAGUCCCGAUUGGUGGGGACUUGGCUGUCUGAUCUAUGAAAUGAUUCAGGGACAUUCUCCAUUCAAAAAAUACAAAGAGAAAGUCAAAUGGGAGGAGGUUGAUCAAAGAAUCAAGAAUGAUACCGAGGAGUAUUCUGAGAAGUUUUCAGAGGAUGCCAAAUCUAUCUGCAGGAUGCCUCAUGCCGUUUACUGUAAGGACGUCCUGGAUAUCGAGCAGUUCUCGGUGGUGAAAGGGAUCUACCUGGACACCGCAGAUGAAGACUUCUAUGCUCGGUUUGCUACCGGGUGUGUCUCCAUCCCCUGGCAGAAUGAGGGCUGCCUGACCAUGGUCCCCAGUGAGAAGGAAGUGGAACCCAAGCAAUGCUGAGUACCCCGGUGCAGACCACAGAGCAGACCCUGGCGCCAGGAAGGAGCAUGUGUUAGCGUCUCGUCCCACCUGGAAUUGUAAUAAAUACAUCUAAAUAAAGCAUGCCUUGGGAGUGCACAGAC